RNAcentral lists this ribosomal RNA (253 nucleotides) under uncultured bacterium. RNAcentral describes it as "partial 16S ribosomal RNA". It matches the Rfam family "Bacterial small subunit ribosomal RNA", at positions 524 to 776 of the family's 1533-position model. The record is from RNAcentral.
GACGUAGGGCGCGAGCGUUGUCCGGAUUUAUUGGGCGUAAAGAGCUCGUAGGCGGCUUGUCGCGUCGUCCGUGAAAACCCACAGCUCAACUGUGGGCUUGCGGUCGAUACGGGCAGGCUAGAGUUCGGUAGGGGAGACUGGAAUUCCUGGUGUAGCGGUGAAAUGCGCAGAUAUCAGGAGGAACACCGGUGGCGAAGGCGGGUCUCUGGGCCGAUACUGACGCUGAGGCGCGAAAGCGUGGGGAGCAAACAGG